RNAcentral lists this non-coding RNA (30 nucleotides) under Mus musculus (house mouse). The record is from RNAcentral. Lineage: Eukaryota; Metazoa; Chordata; Mammalia; Rodentia; Muridae.
UACUCCAUCAUACCAAAUUGUGUUGAUUUC